RNAcentral lists this ribosomal RNA (257 nucleotides) under uncultured bacterium. RNAcentral's name for it is "partial 16S ribosomal RNA". It matches the Rfam family "Bacterial small subunit ribosomal RNA", at positions 524 to 776 of the family's 1533-position model. The record is from RNAcentral.
UACGAAGGGGGCUAGCGUUGCUCGGAAUCACUGGGCGUAAAGGGUGCGUAGGCGGGUCUUUAAGUCAGGGGUGAAAUCCUGGAGCUCAACUCCAGAACUGCCUUUGAUACUGAGGAUCUUGAGUUCGGGAGAGGUGAGUGGAACUGCGAAGUGUAGAGGUGAAAUUCGUAGAUAUUCGGAAGAACACCGGUGGCGAAGGCGGGGUCACUGGGCCGAUACUGACGCUGAGGAGCGAAAGCGUGGGGGAGCGAAACAGG